UUCAUCCUCAUCUGUUCCCCUCUCAUUCUCUCAUCUUUUCUGCUCUCCCAUCUCAUAAGAAGAAAUGACAGAGAGUGCAGCUUUCAGCCAAUUCAGACGUGGAUCUUUUUUGAUGGAGUCCAUCUUCCAAAGCAAGAAGGAAGAUAAAUUGGCAGAGCGAGAGGAGAGAGAGACACAGUCGACAGUCCUGCUCUGCAUCAGUCUUUACCUGGAGUGAAGUUGCUCUGUCCACAUUCACCCAUUACUGCCGGUUUUGGACACAGAAGUCCAAACUCCUUGUUAGGAGGCUGAACCUCACGAGCCCACAACUCGCCAAACGACCGACAGCAAUUAGUAAAGGCGCACGGGAACCGGCGGAUGGGACAUCGGGCCAUUACAAUGCGAGGGCCGGCUUGGGCCUGCUCGUGGCCUUAUAACACAGACAAUGUUUGUUAACCUUAAAGGUCAAACCUGCUUCACUUCAGCCAGCAGACGAGAUGCUUUAUGUAACUCAAAUCAACAAUACAGACUGAGAUUUUCAGCAGCACGUACAAGAAGUUGUGGUGCAUAGAUGGGGCAGAAGGAGAAGGUGGUUAGCAUUGGGGGAGUGACGCUUUAGCAGUAUACUCGCAGAAAUGAGAAAGAGCAUAUAAUAUGUAAGGGAUAAUGUACAGCCAACUGGUUGUUAUUGCAGAAUAAAUCCCAACAGGGUGAUCAGGAGCCCGACGACAUGGAUAACAACCGGCUGGAUGUACAUUAUCCCGCUUAUUACAUGGCUACUUGCAAGGAGAGUAAAAAGAAAUGGACAAAAUAUUAAUUGGAUAUAUUUUAUUAGCUCAUUUGGAAGAAAUGCAAACCUUCCUCAAGGAAUACAUGUUUUCUAGUGGCUUUAAGCCGAAAACAAACAAAGACAUACAAGGCAAACAUGCAAUUUGGUUAAAUCAUUUGCUAAUAUAUAAUUUUAUAUAUGUUAUUACGUAGACAUAUUUUUAUUGAAUUUAUUUGUGUCAGCAUGUGUCUUGUUCUUACUCAAACUAAAACUAUUAAA
This is a non-coding RNA of Misgurnus anguillicaudatus (oriental weatherfish), 1027 nucleotides long. Lineage: Eukaryota; Metazoa; Chordata; Actinopteri; Cypriniformes; Cobitidae. The record is from RefSeq and is a predicted model, not a curated record.